RNAcentral lists this ribosomal RNA (1566 nucleotides) under Lactiplantibacillus plantarum. Its description in RNAcentral is "16S ribosomal RNA". It matches the Rfam family "Bacterial small subunit ribosomal RNA". Lineage: Bacteria; Bacillati; Bacillota; Bacilli; Lactobacillales; Lactobacillaceae. The record is from RNAcentral.
UAAUUUGAGAGUUUGAUCCUGGCUCAGGACGAACGCUGGCGGCGUGCCUAAUACAUGCAAGUCGAACGAACUCUGGUAUUGAUUGGUGCUUGCAUCAUGAUUUACAUUUGAGUGAGUGGCGAACUGGUGAGUAACACGUGGGAAACCUGCCCAGAAGCGGGGGAUAACACCUGGAAACAGAUGCUAAUACCGCAUAACAACUUGGACCGCAUGGUCCGAGCUUGAAAGAUGGCUCGGCUAUCACUUUUGGAUGGUCCCGCGGCGUAUUAGCUAGAUGGUGGGGUAACGGCUCACCAUGGCAAUGAUACGUAGCCGACCUGAGAGGGUAAUCGGCCACAUUGGGACUGAGACACGGCCCAAACUCCUACGGGAGGCAGCAGUAGGGAAUCUUCCACAAUGGACGAAAGUCUGAUGGAGCAACGCCGCGUGAGUGAAGAAGGGUUUCGGCUCGUAAAACUCUGUUGUUAAAGAAGAACAUAUCUGAGAGUAACUGUUCAGGUAUUGACGGUAUUUAACCAGAAAGCCACGGCUAACUACGUGCCAGCAGCCGCGGUAAUACGUAGGUGGCAAGCGUUGUCCGGAUUUAUUGGGCGUAAAGCGAGCGCAGGCGGUUUUUUAAGUCUGAUGUGAAAGCCUUCGGCUCAACCGAAGAAGUGCAUCGGAAACUGGGAAACUUGAGUGCAGAAGAGGACAGUGGAACUCCAUGUGUAGCGGUGAAAUGCGUAGAUAUAUGGAAGAACACCAGUGGCGAAGGCGGCUGUCUGGUCUGUAACUGACGCUGAGGCUCGAAAGUAUGGGUAGCAAACAGGAUUAGAUACCCUGGUAGUCCAUACCGUAAACGAUGAAUGCUAAGUGUUGGAGGGUUUCCGCCCUUCAGUGCUGCAGCUAACGCAUUAAGCAUUCCGCCUGGGGAGUACGGCCGCAAGGCUGAAACUCAAAGGAAUUGACGGGGGCCCGCACAAGCGGUGGAGCAUGUGGUUUAAUUCGAAGCUACGCGAAGAACCUUACCAGGUCUUGACAUACUAUGCAAAUCUAAGAGAUUAGACGUUCCCUUCGGGGACAUGGAUACAGGUGGUGCAUGGUUGUCGUCAGCUCGUGUCGUGAGAUGUUGGGUUAAGUCCCGCAACGAGCGCAACCCUUAUUAUCAGUUGCCAGCAUUAAGUUGGGCACUCUGGUGAGACUGCCGGUGACAAACCGGAGGAAGGUGGGGAUGACGUCAAAUCAUCAUGCCCCUUAUGACCUGGGCUACACACGUGCUACAAUGGAUGGUACAACGAGUUGCGAACUCGCGAGAGUAAGCUAAUCUCUUAAAGCCAUUCUCAGUUCGGAUUGUAGGCUGCAACUCGCCUACAUGAAGUCGGAAUCGCUAGUAAUCGCGGAUCAGCAUGCCGCGGUGAAUACGUUCCCGGGCCUUGUACACACCGCCCGUCACACCAUGAGAGUUUGUAACACCCAAAGUCGGUGGGGUAACCUUUUAGGAACCAGCCGCCUAAGGUGGGACAGAUGAUUAGGGUGAAGUCGUAACAAGGUAGCCGUAGGAGAACCUGCGGCUGGAUCACCUCCUUU